Molecule: long non-coding RNA, 1848 nt
Filed under: Citrus maxima (pomelo)
Lineage: Eukaryota; Viridiplantae; Streptophyta; Magnoliopsida; Sapindales; Rutaceae
Description: long non-coding RNA (CMAX_LNC003443)
Source: RNAcentral
UUGAAAACACAUUUGGUGGGCUAAACUCAGAAAUAAAUUAUAAAACAAAAAAUUCGGAUUCAGUUUUCCAGUUGUAAAGUUGAGAACGUGUUUAAUGUGUUUUCAAAUGAAUUUACAGUUCACACUAAAGAACAAACUACAGAACAAAUCUCAAACAUCUCUGGCUCGUAUUCUCUUCAUCAACAGCUCCUAAAGUCCCCGAUCUAAACUCUCCGCACUCAUUAUCAAUCUCUUCUUCCUCUUUCUCUAGAUCUACAACACAUAUCUCUCUCUCUAACUCGAUCUGCCAGUCCGUUGCUGCUGCUGCUCGAUCUCGGCUGUUGCAGCUGCUGUCUUCACUUGGUCUUUGCUCCAGCUACUUCCAGUCAGUUGCUGCUGCUGCUGCGCUUCCAGUUCGUUGCUGUUGCUGCUAGAUCUUGGCUGUUGCAGCUGCUGUCUUCACUUGGUAUUUGCUCCAGCUACUUCUAGUCCAUUGUUGCUGCUGCUAGAUCUCGGCUGUUGCAGCUGCUUUCUUCACUUGCUCUUUGCUCCAGCUACGCGUGCUUUCUGCAAUCUGCUCUUCCACUCGCUUGCUGCAACCACGUACUGGUAUAUUUCUUUCUUUUUUUCUAUUUGGUUGAAUUUUGAGUGUAAUUCGAAUUUGUUUAGCUUGGACCCAUAUCAUGUUCAAUUCAGCAAAUUGGAUUCAACUGGGCAAAUUAGAUGUUGCUAUGUUCAAUUAGUUUUCUAGACAAAUUAAUUGGGUGUAGUUUUUUAUUAUCUUGUGUAUUGGUGUUUGCUCUGGUUUUAUUUUCUUUGGAUGUACCCAUCUUUGAUAACGGACAAUAUAUCCAAUAAUUGAAGCCUAGCACUUAUUAUCCAUGGGGCAAGUUACUCCGACUAGCUUACUGAGCCUUAUCUUUAUUUCAUAUUUGAAAUUGAAAUUCAUUUGGCAAUUGCCUAAUGCUGUGGGCCCAAGUGUAGCCCCACAGGAAGAUUCAAGAGGCCAACAAAGGGACUGAUCAGUCGAAAAUUGGGAGAAAAUUAGCUACAACUUCAUGGAAAAAUCAGAAAUUCUUUUAAGAUGUUAUUGAACUAUUUUGAGUUGUUGGAAUUUUUGCUUUACAGAACUUGAUAGGUAUAGAUAUUCAGAGACUUGUUUGUGAAAUACAAGAUUUUGUAUUGGAAGGUUGCACCCAACAUAUACAAUUGAACUUGGUGUAACUUUCUGGUGAAUUUUGGCAGCUUCCAAUCCUUCUGAGUUUGAAUUUCCUCUUGAAUAUAUCGAUCUGCAUUUUAUUGACAUUUGUUGCAAGCAAUUACUUUGAUUUUUUUUAUUCAUUUUAUGAAGUUGUGAUUAUUAGAAUUUGGGAUAGGGCUUGUAAUAAGGUUUGGACUGUCAAAUUUGGAAUAACAUUGCACAUUUGAAAGCUGUCUUUUUCUACACAAACAUGCAGACAUGCACAUACACACCAUAAUCUUUCGAGUAACAUUCAUUUUGUAAUCUAUGACAUGUUGCUGAAAUUACUUUCAUGUUAUGUUGAAUUUGAUUAAUAUUUGAUAUGUGUUAUUUUUUUAAAAAUUUUUCAAGAUAUGGAUCCACAUGAUGUUGAUGUUGAGGAUAAGGCCGAUUGGUACAAGAGAUGGAAUUAAAAAACAAGUGUCGCAGAGAUGAAUGCUACAAGAGAUGGAAUUGCAGCUUUUAUGUGGCAUGAUUACAUACGUAAUGCAUAAUGUGUAUCAUGUAGUUUUUUUAUAAUUAUUUUGUUUAAAUCAUGUGUUGUAAUAUAUAUCUUAAUUAUAUGGUGUAAAAACAAUGACAAUUUCAAACUUUUUUUAAUUAAUGUUAAUUCUUAAACUUUAUUAUCA